CAAACGGCAAUGACGGAGGAAAGUAAACCGGCGGAAACCGACAGGGAGGCCGGGGCGCAGACUGAAACCCCAGCCCGGCAGAAACCGGUCGAAGUUCCCUCCUGAGCCGCCCGGGGGAACGCUCUCCUUAGCGAGAGCCAGUAGUUCGGGCCGCAUCGCCAGCGUUAACCGGCGCUCCAAUCGUUCUGCCGGAUGGUAGAACCGUUGGGUUGAGUGGGCUGCUACACCGGCAGCCAAGCAGGGUGGUACCGCGGGAAAAUCCCUCCCGUCCCUUGA
RNAcentral lists this non-coding RNA (276 nucleotides) under Bellilinea caldifistulae. RNAcentral's name for it is "T-box sequence". It matches the Rfam family "T-box leader". From Rfam's summary of the family: Uncharged tRNA acts as the effector for transcription antitermination of genes in the T-box leader family. T-boxes are found upstream of many aminoacyl-tRNA synthetase genes and some amino acid biosynthetic genes usually in Gram-positive bacteria. Lineage: Bacteria; Bacillati; Chloroflexota; Anaerolineae; Anaerolineales; Anaerolineaceae. The record is from RNAcentral.